RNAcentral lists this long non-coding RNA (201 nucleotides) under Homo sapiens (human). RNAcentral describes it as "HSALNT0164013". Lineage: Eukaryota; Metazoa; Chordata; Mammalia; Primates; Hominidae. The record is from RNAcentral.
GGGGCUGAUGAUCCUGUAGGAGGACAGGCAUAGGGCAGAGAGUCAGAUAUAGUUUGGGAUGGGACUUGCAGGUUUCUGGACUGUGCACCUGUGUUCAAAAGCCUGUAUCAGGUUCCAGUGUGCGUGCAUGCACCUGCCAGAGAGCCCCGGGAUCUCAGAUCACACCUGCCCUCACCCCAGCACCUAGAGAGGAGUUCUCCA